Molecule: unclassified non-coding RNA, 674 nt
Filed under: Hevea brasiliensis (rubber tree)
Lineage: Eukaryota; Viridiplantae; Streptophyta; Magnoliopsida; Malpighiales; Euphorbiaceae
Source: RNAcentral
UCAGAAUCUCCUUCAGAAAUUGCUCAGGUUGGUUGGUCUCUAUAACUAGUUGCUUCAAUGCCCAAUUUUGUUGCCUUUCAAACAGUUUGAAGAUUAUAUUUUCCAGUUCUUGGCGGUCUCUUCUAGUUCGUUUCAGAUCAGACGGCUUUGUGGGUGUCAUCUUCUUCUUCUCCUUUGAAACUGAUGAUGACAUUAGGCCGAGCAUACCAGGCAUCGGAUUCAUAUUUCCUCCAUGAUCAUCAGUAUACACCUGUACUUGUCUGUUUUUAAUCAUUGAUUUAGUAGUCCUUUCACGACAUAACUUGCCAUACUGCGCAAAAUUUUCACUAUGAGGCUCCAUGUCAAAUUUAUGAUCCACCUUACCUUCCAAUGAAAGUUUUCCAGUAGCCGAUUCCGUGAAUACGCACAUUGGGACAAAGUCUUUGUGCAUGUUGAGAGAGUAACUCUUGGGUGUAUUUCCAGGUUCAUUUUUUGCCAAUUCCAUCUUAAACGUGGGGGGUUGAUCCGGCUGGAGGAGAUCGAGCGUGAGCACGACCUUAGCGACGACGGGGGCUGGAAGGGCAGGAUCGGAAGCGGCGGCAGAGGAGAUCCACGACCGCGAUACCACCGGCGGACACUUCAUCAGCCACACCGCGCGGUCGGCGCGGGUCGUGUCGAGCACCGUCCGGUUGUCG